UUUCAAAUCAAAAUCCUAUAAGUGAAAUCAAUAAGAAAAUCCUUCGAUGCUCCAUCAAGUUAGGACAUAAUCAGAAUAUAUAAAAAUUUUAAAUCAUUAUCUUUUUUAAAGUUUCUAUCAUCAAGAUCCUUAAUAUCUAUCAAGUAUCUUUUCAUAACAAUCAUACAAACCUAAAAAAAAAAUUAAAUCUUCAUUUAAUAGUAGAUUCAAUCAGGGACCU
RNAcentral lists this long non-coding RNA (220 nucleotides) under Elaeis guineensis (African oil palm). Its description in RNAcentral is "long non-coding RNA (EGUI_LNC072209)". Lineage: Eukaryota; Viridiplantae; Streptophyta; Magnoliopsida; Arecales; Arecaceae. The record is from RNAcentral.